Molecule: long non-coding RNA, 2233 nt
Organism: Fukomys damarensis (Damara mole-rat)
Lineage: Eukaryota; Metazoa; Chordata; Mammalia; Rodentia; Bathyergidae
Source: Ensembl
CCUAAAUCUGGCGAUAGUGAGAGAGGGAGGGAAGUGAGUUCCCCGCCUGUCUCUGCUUCCCUUUCUCCUUCCAGCCACCUGCUCCCCUCCAACUGGCCGGACCUCCCUGACCAAAAUGACCCGGUGGCUCCGCCCCCUGGCCUUAGCGACCCAAGCCCCGCCCCUUCUCUGACCUUAGCGACCCGGCCGGCCCCGCCCCUCGGCGUCGCUGUUUCCUUCCUUGAGGUAAACAGACUGAACCGAGCCCGGCGAGGAGGACGAGGACCCGAAGCCCCUUCGGAGCCGCAGGAGGCGGAACCUGAGGAGCCUCUCGCUCCGUGGGCCCCCGGGUCUUGGUCGCCUCUCCCAUGGCUGCCAUCGGGGGACGCAGACGGAACCUCGGUUCCGCCGCCGAGGACCUUCCCGGAGCGCCUUCCACCCCCGCGCGCUGCCAGAGCAAACUGAUCAAACAAAUAGAUUUGGAUAUUUAUGAAAGCAGACAGAGCUGUUUGCACAUUUCAUUCAGCCUGCUACUCAGAAGACUGCAACCUCACCUUUGAAAAAGAAACCAGAGUGCCCAAGAAUAAAUCGGAUGAGAAAAAGAACUUGCUCUCAGUUGGUGAAUGAAUAAUAAUUUAUAUUUCAUUCAGCCAAACUUAUUUUUGAUAGUCUUCAUUAGAAAUAUAAAUUUAUUUCAUUUAAAAAUUUUAUGCCCAGUUGGCUUGGCAGUGUAUACCUGCAAAAGUAUAAAAAUUUAGUAUUAUAUGUAAUGCCUUACUUUUCAUAGCAUAUAGUUAUGGAUUACGACCACUAUACCUAAUAUAGCAUUUAAAUGUCAUGCCAUUUCUUAGAUGAGUCAAGGCAGAGGUUACCAUCACAGAGAAGUACAAUAAUCCAAGCUUGAACUUGGUUAUGACUGGGCUGAGCUUUCAUCUUCAAAACCACAUCCGUAAACUGAAGAUACGACUUUUACUGAAGUCUAUGCUCGUGUGGGUGACAUUGUGAUGACCUAUUCCACAUCAGGUUAAAAUUGUGUCGCAUACUUCCUGUCUUUCUAUAAAGUGUCAAGGGGUAUUCCAUCCUCGGGUGAUUUUGCAAAUAACUUAUUUUCAAUUUAUAAAUUCUUAAGAAUUUUGGGCUUCUUGGGUAAUUAAAGUAUUUAAUUAAUAAUAAUUAACAAGGUUUUGAGUAGUCUCAGCUUUCUAGAAUGGCUAUAAUUCCCAGUGUGAAAAUGUGAUCAGUAAUUACAAUCCACAAGAUUGUCUAAAAUAUGAAAGUACAAACAAUAUUAAAGUCACUGGAAGCUCUCAAGGAAUGGCAUCAUCUGUCAUUUUCUAAAUAAAUGGGAUGAAAAUAAUUGUUACACGUGCCAAAUUGGAAGCUUCGGAAUUGGGGAAUAAUUGGUUUUACACAUCUGAGCCCUUAACAUACACACCUUACAAACUAUAACUUCCGAAAAAUCAGUUUGGAAGAUGAUGUAUCUGAAUCUUUAAGGUUGUAGAAUCUGGACAUGGAUAUUUAAUGUUUUUCUUCUUGGCACUGAGGAAUGAACCCAGUGCCUUCACAUAAAACUAAAUCCCGAGCUCCUCUUUUUUUUCCCCUUACUUUUUAUUUUUGAGAUAAGAUCUCACUAAAAUUGUUAAGUCACCCACACUGGGCUCCAACAUGUGAUCCCUCCUGUCUCAACUUCCUUGCCUCCAAGUUCUGGGCUUCAUCAGGUUUGUAAAUAAAAAUUUUAUUUACACACUAUAUGUUAGCAUACAAAAUUUUAAAUAUUUCAAUUUACUAGUAAUUUCUGCUGUUUAGUUUUUGUCUAAAUUCAUAUGCCUAUUAAAAAUUAUUGUAGUAUAUUGGUCAGCCACUUGACUAUUAUGUCAGAAUAGAAGCUGGUAGUAUUAAACUUGAAGCCAGAACUCUAAUUGAUUACUUUUCAUUUUGACAGUUACCAACACUGUAGAACAAACAGAGCAAGAAGAGGAUGAAGAAGUACUCAUAGAAAGCUCUAAAGGAACCAGUGUUUACUCCUGAUUUAGAGACUCUCCAUCACGUAUGUUAAACAGUUACUUGAUUACAAGAUUCCCUUCUGAAACAUCAUUUGUUAGUGUUUUGGUCUUGUCUUGGUUAUAAUUUAUAAGAGGAAUUUUUAUUAAUCUUAGAUAUUUGUUGUUGGUGAAUAAAGUUCAGAUUAUUUUGAUGGAGAUAUUAGUGUUAUACAUUGGGGUGCUAUAUAAUUGGGGUGCUAUAUUUCAGAGGG